RNAcentral lists this small RNA (573 nucleotides) under Pan troglodytes (chimpanzee). RNAcentral describes it as "processed transcript". The record is from RNAcentral. Lineage: Eukaryota; Metazoa; Chordata; Mammalia; Primates; Hominidae.
AAGCACCGCCAUUGGCCGGUGCGUGCAGGUGGCAGCCAAGAGCCUCCUGGCACAGCGGCACCAGGCAGGUGGCGCCUAUUGGACCCCAGAGGUCAUCCCAGCUCCAGACGUGGGCACAUUUUCUUCCAAUGAUGUCUACAGAUGAGGAAACUGAGGCCUGGAGAGGUUAAAGAGACCCGUUCAGAGUCCUACAGUGGCAGACUGGUCUUCUGAGGACCUCUGCCCUCUACACAGCAGCCUCUUCAGGUGCAGGGAGGAAAUGGAAGCACGUUCUAUGCUGGUUCCACCCCAGAGAGGCAGUGGGUGAGGAUCUGCUAGUGGAGUUCCUAUCAUUUCCAGUGUAGAAAUCAGGACCACUGCUGUGACUGGCAAGAGGCAUCUGUGUGCUUCGAGGAUGUGGCUAUGGCAUUCACACAGGAGGAGUGGGAACACCUGGACCUGGCCCAGAGGACACUGUACCGAGAGGUGACACUGGAGACCUGGGAGCAUAUUGUCUCCCUGGCUGGAGCAAGAAGAGGACCUGUGCAGGGCAGAGCAGGAGGCCCCCCGAGGUAAGAGCAGACCUUGUGGUGA